RNAcentral lists this long non-coding RNA (4839 nucleotides) under Sus scrofa (pig). RNAcentral's name for it is "lncRNA (ENSSSCG00000052470.1)". The record is from RNAcentral. Lineage: Eukaryota; Metazoa; Chordata; Mammalia; Artiodactyla; Suidae.
AGGGAUCAAACGUGUGCCGCAGCAGUGACCUGAGCCGCUGCAGUGCCAGUGCCAGAUACUUAACCCACUGCACCACAAGGGAGCUCUGUUGUCUGCAUGUCUUAGCACAUGGCUUAAGCAUCCGAUUUCACUGUUUUCACACACUAAAGUGGAACCUCCCUGAGGACAGGGACCGGUGUCAAGUGUUAGCUCAGUACGAUUAGAGGAAUAGUCAGGUUUCUCUCUCUCUCCACCACACCCUGAACUCUUCAGGGUCAAGGUGUGUCCCGAGACCCCAGCGUCUAUCACAGAUAGAGCUUGAGCCCCUGCGUGCGAAGGACCCUAAGCCGAGGUUGAAACAGAAACAGGGAGAAGACAGAACUUUCUAGGGAGGAAAGUCCUCCUAAAACAAACACCCCCAUCUCUGGGCCUAAUAGAUGUGAAUGAAAAUGGUAUUUAAUUGGCUAAAACCAGAGCUGUCAUCACCUAAUCAGAGAGCCUGGAAAUAGAUUUGCAGCACUCUGCUUCUGCCGGGGGAACCAUGGUGCAGCCGCCUUGGGAGCCCCGGGCCGCUGCAGACGCCAGUAGGCGUCCGUCUGUCUGGGGAGCAGCCUGGAGGUUUGGUUAUUCGAUCAGGGGAGGCCGGAGCCUGGGAGAAAGCUCGGGGUGUCGAGGAAGCCGGCAUUUCCGGAAAAGCCGACAGCCCUGUUCGUUUCUCUUGCCUAAAUAACAAUCAUCACUGCUCCCUGGGGCCAGCACUUUAUAGUUUGCAAAGCGCUUCAGCGUUCACAAGUCUGCCCCGGGUGUCCAGGAGGGGGUCUGGCGGGAUUGUCACCCCAGCGUUAUGGGCCAGGAAACCCAGGCUCAGGCAAGGCAGCGGGUCAGGAACUGCCCUGCAUCUUCUGAUUCCUGGAAAGGCAAGGGGUAGCGUCACCCCCGUGGGGUGGGGCUGUCAGAACUUGCCCUCCACCGAUUUGGGAAGUCUAGUGAAGGCCUCCUGGGACUGCCUCGUUACCCCCCUACCCCGGCUGGGUCACCCCCAUUCUUUCCUCCUCCCACCCGGCUCUCUUGGACUCCUGGGAAUCUGCAUGGCUGGCCAGGCCCUCCGCCUGCUGUGAUGCCAGUGCUGCCCCCCCCGCCCCCCGCCACCCCCCUCCUACCUCACCUGCGCUUGGCCCCUGAGGCUCCGCUCGGGAAUCACAGCAUCCAGAAGCUCGAACAGGCUGGGAGGGUGACCUUCCCCCAUUCUCCCUUCCCGGUCAGAUUCCAGAGCCUUCUUCUUGGGGCUGGAGGUCAAGGUGGACUCCACUUUGACAGAGACGGAGGGACGGGUGGACCUGAUGGCAGAACACGGAGACAGAGGAAUGAAGGGAUGGAGGACAGGGCAUGGCAGGGCUAGAGAGAGUCAAGGGUGGCGAGGUGCCCCAGGGCUGGCAACGGAGGGGGACUCUUACUGCGGCCGGGUCCGAAGGGAUGAGGCGGGGAGGAGGUGUAAGAGAGGCUGCAAUGGAGCCACUGUGGCCUUGACCAGUGCCUGCCCAGUGGGGGUGGGGGAGCCAUGAGUAGAAAACACCCCCUCCCCUCCUGCUGCCUCUGGUCGCUUCCCAACCUCCCCCCUGCCACCCUCUUCACCCCAGCAAUGGGCCAAACCCUACAAAGAGCCAGAGGGCCGUGGCCUGGGUGAGGUCCUCCACCCGGGGUGGAGGAGGCGAAAGACCUGGCAGGCAGGUGGAGGAAACCCAGCAGGUGGACCUUGAGUAGCUGCGAGGCCCACGCUGACCCGUCAAAUGACUGGGUGUUUUUGAGUUUCAAAAUUCAGAUUCUCUGGCUCCUGCCCUACCUCAGUGUUCUAACUUAGUGGGUCUGCUUUUUACUGGUUUAUUCAUUUACUUACUUAUUUUAUAUUUUUGGCCACUCAUGCAGCAUGUGGAAAUUCCUGGGCCAGGGAUCGAACUCACACCUCAGCAGUGACCCAAGCCACUGCAGUGAGUUAACACCGGAUCCUAAAUGGGUCCCUAUGCUGGAGUUCCCACUGUGGCAGAGCGGGACUGGUGGCAUCUCUGGAGCGAUGGGACACAGGUUUGAUCCCAAGGACAGAGGGUUCAGGAUCCAGCAUUUCUGUAGCUGCAAUGUGGGUCACAACUGUGGCUCAGAUCUGAUCCCUGGCCUGGAAACUUCAUAUGCCCAGAGGUGGCCAAAAGAGAAACAAUAGGUCAGGGUUCUGGGUGAUUUUUAAGAGCAAUGUCAGCAUUUUUGGGGGCAGCCAUUUUCACAGGGACCCUGGGACUUCUGAGCCCUGGUCGUCCCCCACCCCCCUGGUUCCCUGACAGCCUGGGGCCAGUCACUUCCACCUUCUGGGUCUCAGUUUCCCCAGCAGGAAGCAGAGGGAUCUGGAGCCUUCCAGCCUGAAGGGACUGCUCUCUGUUGCCGGCCACACCGCUGGCCUGUAAACCCUCCCCUCAGCUCCUGGCGUCCCAGCUCUUUGACAGUGACAAAGGCCGAGAGAGGUCAGCACGUGGCUGCCCUCUGCGUUUGCAGUUCUCUUGAAAUGAAAUGUAUGUUCUCCUGGGGUGAACGAAGGUCUCUGAGAUCGGGAACCCACGACAGACGCAGGGAGGCGGGUUGGAGGUUAUGGCUUUAUACGGAUGCAGCCACACCCCACAGUCAGGCCUCCCCGGACAAGGGGGCAGAGAUGUGACGUGCCACAGUCCAUAAUCCUCAGGGAGCCUGGCCUGGAUCCUCUGUACCCCUUACAGAGGUAGGUAGGACCUCCAGGAGCAGAUGUGUAGCAGUCUGUCCCCAGAGGCGACUGUUUGCUCCAGAGACCACCGUGCCCCCUCUCCCCUCAGCAAACCCGCUGAGGCCGGUUGGAGAGGGACAUGCUCGCUGCCAUGGGCACCCGGGCCCUGGCACACAAGUGCAGAGCUGGCCUCCUCUGUCCAGCAGACAGUGCCACUGGGUCUCAUAUCUUUUGUCCUGAGAACCCAGCUCAGGCCUGGGACCCGUAGGUGUCCAUGGUGUGUUGGACAAAUAGACACAUACAAGGUCUCCUUGGACUUGCCUCGCGCAUUGCCAGCCCUGAAGUAAUGGCUGCGUGUUAUUCCUCUGACCUGGAUUCCAGCUCACAGCAAUGUCCACCCACCUGCCCAGCUGCCUGAUGGCAACCCAGCCACUGUUUUGUAGCCGAUUCUGUGACAUCUUCUAGUGGCUGAAAAGAGCAGUCGCUGAGUUAUAAAGAGCACCCGCCCUGCCGCCUGUCCAUCAGGUCCGGGGGAGAGAUGUGCUGCCUCGGAGGGCCUCCUGCUGCUACUGUAUGAGGCAAUAGCUGUCACUCACAAAGGCUCAGAGAGGUUCGGGGAUGUGCCCUGCUGCCUCAGCUAACGAACAGCCUCCUCUGCCUGGCAUCUCCAGCAUCCAACAGCGAGGACCACUGACCCCUCCUCCCCCUCCGCUCAUCAGCCCCCUGUCCCUCUGUCAUGUCAUCUUCUGAGAAGACGCCGUCUCACGGUCUCCAACUUAUAAUAUGUGCUGUCCUCUUUUCAGGCUCUGGUGUUCUUCGGCCUCCAGCUGUGGGCACCCAGGGGUCUAGGAGACACCCCUGUGGGUCACUCACCACCUGGAUGACUCAAGCUGCCACUGCCUUCAGCCUGAUGGCUUUGUGUUGGCCAAGCCGAGAAUGCCCUCGAAGGGAUCCCUGCUCCCUGCACACGUUGACUCCGAAGGCCUUUAGGAAGGCUUACUGUCACUUGGCUGUGCCUUCCCUGGCCUCCCCCACAAUCCUGUCGCGGUGUCCCCACUGAUGUUCCCGGAGGCCACUGCAAAGAGAAGUUGAGUCACGCGGCACUUGCACCCUGGUAUUAAGCCGAGGCAUGCUGAGUUUUAUGUUUCCAAAGCACCGAGAUGCUCCUUGGUUGGCAUUUCCCACCCCUAGGGCUGCAGUCAGAGCCUCCAGGUUCCUGAGCUGGGGAUUCUCCCAGUCCUGCCUUUAGGUUUCCCCCCAGUCUUCGUUUAGCACCUGGACCCUGCUCUAGGCCCAGGGCAGGUAACGGGGAACCAGACAGAUGAGGUCCUGACAUCCGAGGGGAAGGAGCACGAUUAUAAGGAAAGGCUGUUUCAGAGCGUGAAAGCAUUUGGAAUGAAGUAUGGCAAAUGGGGAGUUCCUGCUGUGGUGCAGCGGGAUCGGCGGCGGUGUCUCCGCAGCACCCAGGACACAGGUUUGAUCCCCAGCCCAGCACGUGGGUGGAAGGAGCCCCAUUGCUGCAGCUGUCGCUUGGCUCUGAACUCCACAUGCUGCAGGGCGGCCAAAAAAGCAAGAAAGGCAAAAAAGAACAUGGCAGACAUGGUACAACGAGGAGACACUAGUAGCUGGAGUGGUUGGUGAUAAUACCCAUCAGCAAAUGAUGACCAGAGGUAAAGGAGCAGCCCACCACGUGAAGGGAUGGGACAGGACCAGGCACGAAGGUCUGAGAGCCCAGUGCAGCUGCACAGAGCAAAUGAGGGGAAUGGGAUUAGGCGGGGAGGCCAGGGGGCAGGCAGGAGCCACCUGCUCUGGGCUUUGAAGGCCAUGUUAAGUAGUUUGAAUUCUACCCGGCACCAUAUAGAGUACCUGGGCCAGGGGAUCAGAUCCAAGCACAGUUGCAGCGUACACCGCGGCUGUGGCAAUGCUGGAUCCUUUAACCCACUAUGCCAGGCCAGGGAUCGAACCUCAAUAUCCAUGCCAUGUUUGUAUCCAGGACAAACAGCAGACUUCCUUUCCCGCUCAUUGUAACAUGGCAAGUCCCCAACUCAGAGUCCUCUCCUGUCAUGCAAACCCAGGGCGUAGCAGGUGUUCACCUAGACUCAUCUGUGUCACCCCUCUGG